This 285-nucleotide ribosomal RNA is filed under the name uncultured bacterium. Its description in RNAcentral is "partial 16S ribosomal RNA". It matches the Rfam family "Bacterial small subunit ribosomal RNA", at positions 28 to 312 of the family's 1533-position model. The record is from RNAcentral.
GACGAACGCUGGCGGCGUGCUUAACACAUGCAAGUCGAGCGGUAAGGCCCUUUCGGGGUACGACGAGCGGCGAACGGGUGAGUAACACGUGGGUGACCUCGCCCUCAGCUCUGGGAUAAGCCUGGGAAACCGGGUCUAAUACUGGAUAUGACUCCAUGACGCAUGUUGGUGGGGUGGAAAGCCUUGUGCGGCUGAGGAUGGGCCCGCGGCCUAUCAGCUUGUUGGUGGGGUGACGGCCUACCAAGGCGACGACGGGUAGCCGGCCUGAGAGGGCGACCGGCCACA